UACAGAGGGUGCGAGCGUUAAUCGGAAUUACUGGGCGUAAAGCGUGCGUAGACGGUAGCGUAAGUCAGAUGUGAAAGCCCCGGGCUCAACCUGGGAAUUGCAUUUGAGACUGCUCUGCUCGGGUGCGGAAGAGGGAAGCGGAAUUUCCGGUGUAGCGGUGAAAUGCGUAGAUAUCGGAAGGAACACCAACGGCGAAAGCACUCUGCUGGGCCGACACUGACACUGAGAGACGAAAGCUAGGGGAGCGAAUGGG
RNAcentral lists this ribosomal RNA (253 nucleotides) under uncultured bacterium. RNAcentral's name for it is "partial 16S ribosomal RNA". It matches the Rfam family "Bacterial small subunit ribosomal RNA", at positions 524 to 776 of the family's 1533-position model. The record is from RNAcentral.